Panicum virgatum (switchgrass) is the source of this 1163-nucleotide long non-coding RNA. RefSeq lists it as uncharacterized. The record is from RefSeq and is a predicted model, not a curated record. The transcript has 4 exons. Lineage: Eukaryota; Viridiplantae; Streptophyta; Magnoliopsida; Poales; Poaceae.
UAGCGUGGUGGCAGUCCGCCCGGCCGCCGGCGCCGCAAGCCCGGCCGCCGGAGCUCGUCCGCUGCUCCGUCGCCCGACGCCCCGCACGGCCUGAACCGGCCGUGGCCGUUCCCAUGGCCGCGCCCGCCGGGCACCGGGCAGUGGCCGCCGCUGCCGCCGUUCCUGUCCCACCCGCCUCCGUCCCCGUGUGGCCGUGGCCGCACAACCCGGGGAGCAACCAGUGGCCACCGCUGCCUCCGUUCCCGUUCCACCCACCGUCGUUCCCGGCGUGGCUGCUCCCCCGCCCACCGGCGUCGCAUCUCCAACCUGCGCGGACCCAGAGUGGAGCAUCGUCCUGCUGCACUUCAACCCAUCGGCGCGCACCACAGGUCGCAUCUCCACCACCGCCACUGUCUAGUGGACGUCCACGCCGCAUCUUCGCCCUACGCCGCCACUGCUCCAGCGGCACUAGAUGGAGGCGGCAGACGGAGCCGACCUGUUCGGCUGGCAUUCCUCCAUGGUGGGGCUGGAGGACGGGAAGGAUGGGGAGGAGGGCUCUGACGAGGAGGAGGACCGGCGGCCGAGCGGGAGCACCGAAGUCAGCCUUUAAUUCAUGAUGGCAUGAAAGAGUGGAGCUGCUGCAAGCAAUGAAGCCAUGAUUUUAGCUUAUUUUUGGCGAUACCAGGAUUCGAAGAAAGAAUGGAGAUUGGAGGAUAAAGAUUCAUACUUUUACUUUGUUGCUAUUGUUAGAGUCUCGACUUCAGAUCAUAGGCUUCUAUCAAGAUUACCGCAGUGCCAAGAUUUGGGAUUUGAUUAGUCUUAUGAAAACUUAUGAGAUCAUCGAGUUGAAGUGCUGAAGAGCAUGCCGAUCUACUGGAAGUAGUGUUUUGUCAGUUAAUAUCUGAAGCAAGAGGUUAUUUUGCAAUAUUUUGAACAUUUUGUUAUUGAUGGUGUUAAAGAUUUGUGAUUUGCUUUUCCUGAAAUUUUUAAGAGCAAACUCAAACGUGUGUAGUACCAUGCAGCGUAGGCAAGGAAGCAAGCACAUGCACAUGCGAGCCAUGCGGGUUCCCGAAGGUUGGCCACCAAGACCACGAAGCUAAAUUCGGCAGCCAUAUUAAUUAGUGGACGGCCACGAACCCGCCAAUUAAUUUUGCGGCGAGCGUUGUGGGUUUGCGAGUGGCCGC